GCUUUUCCUACGUAAAAUUGCGUGAUAAACACAACGCCGUCAAUGAAAUUGAGCUGGCAUUCGGAUAUCGGAGACCAAAACACAUAGGAAUAUCGAAGAAAACUUAAUUGAAAAAGUUCUGAAUUAUCAUCUCAAAUUCUGAGAAAUCUCAUCGAGACACACAGAUCAAUUAGGACUAAUACCAGAUGCUACGCGUGAACUCAAAGAAGUUUUAUUUUGGGUAGGAAUCCUUCUGAACAAAGACCCGUUAAGUUCUGGUUGAGAUUCAUCAUAUUUUCUCACCUCUCUUUCAUCUUCAUUUCCGGGAAAGCAUUGAGGCAUUGUGGUCUCUGAGGCAACGGUGAUACUGCACCCGCAUAGAAAAUACAAGACUUUCCUCGAUGCAUUCACACACACUGGACUUGUAGUCAAUAUCCUGUAGUUCGGUGAUUCAUACAUCCAAUUUUUAUGUGUUCCGAGUGGAUACUUACGUAGAAAUGAACAAUAAUGUAUACCUCCCGUAUCUUAGAGAACAAUAAGUGAAUAAUUGAUGAUAAUUAAAAUGAAACUAUCGGCCAUACUCUUGUAACGCAUCAAUUAUAAGCAUACAAAAAUGAAUUUAUAUUGUCCAUUGCAAAGUCUCAAUAUGUAUUCUUGACGAUUGAUUUAUUAAUAAAAACUCUCUGUAACU
Athalia rosae (coleseed sawfly) is the source of this 670-nucleotide long non-coding RNA. RefSeq lists it as uncharacterized. The record is from RefSeq and is a predicted model, not a curated record. NCBI's taxonomy places the organism in Eukaryota, Metazoa, Arthropoda, Insecta, Hymenoptera, Athaliidae. The transcript has 2 exons.